AUUGAACGCUGGCGGCAGGCCUAACACAUGCAAGUCGAGCGGAUGAAGGGAGCUUGCUCCUGGAUUCAGCGGCGGACGGGUGAGUAAUGCCUAGGAAUCUGCCUGGUAGUGGGGGAUAACGUCCGGAAACGGGCGCUAAUACCGCAUACGUCCUGAGGGAGAAAGUGGGGGAUCUUCGGACCUCACGCUAUCAGAUGAGCCUAGGUCGGAUUAGCUAGUUGGUGGGGUAAAGGCAUACCAAGGCGACGAUCCGUAACUGGUCUGAGAGGAUGAUCAGUCACACUGGAACUGAGACACGGUCCAGACUCCUACGGGAGGCAGCAGUGGGGAAUAUUGGACAAUGGGCGAAAGCCUGAUCCAGCCAUGCCGCGUGUGUGAAGAAGGUCUUCGGAUUGUAAAGCACUUUAAGUUGGGAGGAAGGGCAGUAAGUUAAUACCUUGCUGUUUUGACGGUACCAACAGAAUAAGCACCGGCUAACUUCGUG
Molecule: ribosomal RNA, 484 nt
Filed under: uncultured bacterium
Lineage: Bacteria
Description: partial 16S ribosomal RNA
Rfam family: Bacterial small subunit ribosomal RNA
Source: RNAcentral